GCUUUUCACAUAUAAUCAUUACACUUCCCUAAUUUCAAGAUGUUAAGAUGUGUAACCAUGUUUAAUGGAGAUUAAGAAAGUUAACUCCCUUUUCUCGCCCCUUCUUGUCCCAUAGGCUGAGCUCCUCCAUUGUAACUAAGGAAUCUCCUUCAUUUGGAAAACAUACCUUGAAGAUUGAAUGCAAUUCUUCUUAUGAGUUUUUGAGAGUUUGAGAGUUCUCUUCCCUUGUUCUUAUAUAGAGAUGUUCUUCUCAAGUGGUGAAUCACCUAGCACUUAUCCUUUAAUUCUUGGAUUAUAGCCUGGAUGGUGUUCUGAACCUGACAGCUGAUCUCCUGCAUCUCAUUUUGACGAUCCAAGAGACGAGCCUCUAGCUCUAUGCGUUUCAGCCGCUCAUCCUCUAGAUGGGACUCAACCUCAACAAGUCUAGCUCUUAUUUCAUCGCAUUCUUUCCUAGCAUUCUCUGUCUCUCUCUUUUGGGCAUCUAAUUCAGCCUGCAGCUGUUGAAUUUUAUUGGAGCUCGAUGACGAUGAUGACCUUAGUUCUGCUCCAAAAGGACCAAAACCACGCACAUAUGAUUUCUUACCAACCAAUGUUUGGAAGGCAGUACUAAUAAUUUCUUCUUCAUUUGUUUCUCCCCCUUCCUGUGAAUAUUCUAUUUGGCAUCUUUUCUCAUUAAUUUGUUGAGCAGCUUUGUCCUAUGAACAAUUGAUCAUUUAGAGAAGACAGUGAAUAUCAAAUCAAACUAUGCAGAAAAAAAAUAUAAC
This 764-nucleotide small RNA is filed under the name Vigna angularis var. angularis. RNAcentral's name for it is "Non-protein coding transcript". The record is from RNAcentral. Lineage: Eukaryota; Viridiplantae; Streptophyta; Magnoliopsida; Fabales; Fabaceae.